This 253-nucleotide ribosomal RNA is filed under the name uncultured bacterium. Its description in RNAcentral is "partial 16S ribosomal RNA". It matches the Rfam family "Bacterial small subunit ribosomal RNA", at positions 524 to 776 of the family's 1533-position model. The record is from RNAcentral.
UACGUAGGGUCCAAGCGUUAUCCGGAAUCACUGGGCGUAAAGCGUGCGUAGGUGGCGUGUUAAGUGUGAUGUUAAAUCGUGGGGCUCAACCCUGUCGAUGCAUCGCAUACUGGCAUGCUAGAGGACGGCAGAGGCAAGUGGAAUUGGUAGUGUAGCAGUGAAAUGCGUAGAUAUUACCAGGAACACCAAUGGCGAAGGCAGCUUGCUGGGCCACUCCUGACACUGAGGUACGAAAGCGUGGGGAGCGAACAGG